AACCAGCACCUCAAGUGGUCAGGAUGAUUAUUGGGCCUAAAGCAUCCGUAGCCGGCUCUGUAAGUUUUCGGUUAAAUCUGUACGCUCAACGUACAGGCUGCCGGGAAUACUGCAGAGCUAGGGAGUGGGAGAGGUAGACGGUACUCGGUAGGAAGGGGUAAAAUCCUUUGAUCUAUUGAUGACCACCUGUGGCGAAGGCGGUCUACCAGGGGGGGGGGGGGGGGGGGGGAUGAAAGCUGGGGGAGCAAACCGG
This 253-nucleotide ribosomal RNA is filed under the name uncultured archaeon. Its description in RNAcentral is "partial 16S ribosomal RNA". It matches the Rfam family "Archaeal small subunit ribosomal RNA", at positions 474 to 727 of the family's 1478-position model. The record is from RNAcentral.